GAGGGUGUAGCUCAGUGGAAAGUGCGUGCUUAGCAUGCACAAGGUCUUGGGUUCAAUCCCCAGUACCUCCA
RNAcentral lists this transfer RNA (71 nucleotides) under Camelus bactrianus (Bactrian camel). It matches the Rfam family "tRNA". Rfam says of the family: Transfer RNA (tRNA) molecules are approximately 80 nucleotides in length. Their secondary structure includes four short double-helical elements and three loops (D, anti-codon, and T loops). RNAcentral also lists the same sequence under 2 other names. The record is from Rfam by way of RNAcentral. Lineage: Eukaryota; Metazoa; Chordata; Mammalia; Artiodactyla; Camelidae.